UUGAAAUUGACCCUGAAGGUAAGAGUGUAAAUUUUAUUAGGAUGCUCUAAAAUAUAAUAAUUUUAUUUUUAAUUAUUAAAUGCUCUGGCGGUGUUUUAUUUUCAUUUAACCUUUAGAAAAAGUUGAUCUGGGAAAUUCAGAUAGCUCAAGCGAUGAGAGUGAGCCUCUUCAAUCAGCUCUGGAGGCAAUAAAAACACCAGAGAAUGAGACAACGGAUCAGGGUGGAGACAGAGGGCCAUGGACUUCAUCUCCAGGGACUUCUUCAUCUCCAAGGACUUCUUUCAGUCCUCCUUUGAAAAAGGGCAACCGAGUUAACGCCAAAUGUAAGUGGGAAGAUCAUGAGGUACGUGCAGUUGAAAGACACAUGAUGCGUUUCAUCAACACAUGCAAGGUGCCUCAGAAGCUGGACUGCACUCAAUGCAUCAAUGCAGAACCCUAUGCACUGAAAGACAGAAACUGGACUGGAGUGAAAAAUUAUGUUAGAAAUCGCAUUACUGCCUUAAAAAGAAAAGCUUGUGCAAAGGACUGAGGGCUGUCUGUUUGAUUUCAGUGAGUUAAAAUUUCCUGUUUCUCUGGUAAAAUGGUUCUGAAGAGGUUUUGAAGACGUUGCACUCCAAAAAUUUCAGGUUCAGUAAGCAGGUGUAAUUUUGUUACCUAAGACCUUUUCUCAUUCUGAGAGGAAAAAACAAAUCUUUUCAAGUUGACAUUUUUUUCUUAACAUGGUUUUCAUUGUGUCCACUUCACACUGUAUGAAAUGUAUUUGGAAUCAAAGUUUUUUACAUUUGCAGGUAGAAGCACUUAAUGAAUUGUGCAGAUAUUUUGUUGUUUCUUUGUUGCUGCAAGUUCCUGUGUAUACAUGAAGUGCAUGUAAAUUGCUAAAAACAACACGGUAGGAAUAAAAGAAGCAGAAUAUUUAAAUGUUUCUGUGGCACAAUUAGUUGUGAUUUCUUUCAUAAUAAGUACGGUAAUGACCUGACUUUGAAGUUCCGGCAAAUCCAUUGGAUUCUGUCAAGUUAGCAGACCUAAUUGCAAUGAAUAUUGUUAGGUUGGGUAGAAAAAGGCUUUUAACAUUGACACUGAGCAGCAGCAGCAUACGAAAACAUU
RNAcentral lists this long non-coding RNA (1104 nucleotides) under Oreochromis niloticus (Nile tilapia). RNAcentral's name for it is "lncRNA (ENSONIG00000035671.1)". Lineage: Eukaryota; Metazoa; Chordata; Actinopteri; Cichliformes; Cichlidae. The record is from RNAcentral.